UGAAGAAACUUUAUUCGAGAU
Molecule: non-coding RNA, 21 nt
Filed under: Caenorhabditis elegans
Lineage: Eukaryota; Metazoa; Nematoda; Chromadorea; Rhabditida; Rhabditidae
Source: RNAcentral